UUCGCAAUGCCCGAAAGGGUGACGAAGCGACGCCGCGUGGGUGAGGAAGGCCUUCGGGUUGUAAAGCCCUGUCAGGAGUUAAGAAAUGUAGAUUCGCUAAUAUCGGGUCUAUUUGACAAAGGCUCCAAAGGAAGCCACGGCUAACUCUGUGCCAGCAGCCGCGGUAAUACAGAGGUGGCAAGCGUUGUUCGGAAUUAUUGAGCGUAAAGAGCACGUAGGUUGUUUUGUAAGUCAGGUGUGAAAGCCUUCUGUUCAAAGGAAGAACGGCAUCUGAAACUGCAGAUCUUGAGUAUAGGAGGGGAGAGUGGAACUUCUGGUGGAGCGGUGAAAUGCGUAGAUAUCAGAAGGAACGUCGGCGGCGAAAGCGACUCUCUGGCCUAUUACUGACACUGAGUGUGCGAAAGUUAGGGGAGCAAACGGGAUUAGAUACCCCGGUAGUCCUAACCGUAAACGAUGGGCACUAAGUAGAGGGGUUUU
Molecule: ribosomal RNA, 477 nt
Filed under: Candidatus Scalindua brodae
Lineage: Bacteria; Pseudomonadati; Planctomycetota; Candidatus Brocadiia; Candidatus Brocadiales; Candidatus Scalinduaceae
Description: bacterial SSU rRNA
Rfam family: Bacterial small subunit ribosomal RNA
Source: RNAcentral